RNAcentral lists this ribosomal RNA (253 nucleotides) under uncultured bacterium. RNAcentral's name for it is "partial 16S ribosomal RNA". It matches the Rfam family "Bacterial small subunit ribosomal RNA", at positions 524 to 776 of the family's 1533-position model. The record is from RNAcentral.
UACAGAGGUCUCAAGCGUUGUUCGGAUUCAUUGGGCGUAAAGGGUUUGUAGGUGGCUUGCUAAGUCAGACGUGAAAUCCCUCAGCUUAACUGGGGAACUGCGUCUGAGACUGGCAAGCUUGAGUGCAGGAGAGGAACGCGGAAUUCCAGGUGUAGCGGUGAAAUGCGUAGAUAUCUGGAGGAACACCGGUGGCGAAGGCGGCGUUCUGGACUGUAACUGACACUGAUGAACGAAAGCCAGGGGAGCAAACGGG